This 441-nucleotide ribosomal RNA is filed under the name uncultured bacterium. RNAcentral's name for it is "partial 16S ribosomal RNA". It matches the Rfam family "Bacterial small subunit ribosomal RNA", at positions 338 to 795 of the family's 1533-position model. The record is from RNAcentral.
CCUACGGGGGGCAGCAGUGGGGAAUAUUGGGCAAUGGGCGCAAGCCUGACCCAGCAACGCCGCGUGAAGGAAGAAGGCUUUCGGGUUGUAAACUUCUUUUAAGAGGGAAGAGCAGAAGACGGUACCUCUUGAAUAAGCCACGGCUAACUACGUGCCAGCAGCCGCGGUAAUACGUAGGUGGCAAGCGUUGUCCGGAUUUACUGGGUGUAAAGGGAGCGUAGGCGGGGAUGCAAGUUGGGUGUUAAAUCUACCGGCUAAACUGGGAGUCGCACUCAAAACUGCAGCUAUUGAGUGAAGUAGAGGCAGGCGGAAUUCCUAGUGUAGCGGUGAAAUGCGUAGAUAUUAGGAGGAACACCAGUGGCGAAGGCGGCCUGCUGGGCUUUUACUGACGCUGAGGCUCGAAAGUGUGGGGAGCAAACAGGAUUAGAUACCCGAGUAGUC